CCUACGGGUGGCAGCAGUGGGGAAUAUUGGGCAAUGGGCGCAAGCCUGACCCAGCAACGCCGCGUGAAGGAAGAAGGCUUUCGGGUUGUAAACUUCUUUUUAGGGGGAAGAGCAGAAGACGGUAUCCCUUGAAUAAGCCACGGCUAAAUACGUGCCAGCAGCCGCGGUAAUACGUAGGUGGCAAGCGUUGUACGGAUUUACUGGGGGUAAAGGGCGUGCAGCCGGGGAGACAAGUCAGAUGUGAAAUCCACGGGCUCAACCCGUGAACUGCAUUUGAAACUGUUUGCCUUGAGUGUCGGAGAGGUAAUCGGAAUGCCUUGUGUAGCGGUGAAAUGCGUAGAUAUAAGGAAGAACACCAGUGGCGAAGGCGGAUUACUGGACGAUAACUGACGGUGAGGCGCGAAAGCGUGGGGAGCAAACAGGAUUAGAUACCCUUGUAGUC
This 442-nucleotide ribosomal RNA is filed under the name uncultured bacterium. RNAcentral describes it as "partial 16S ribosomal RNA". It matches the Rfam family "Bacterial small subunit ribosomal RNA", at positions 338 to 795 of the family's 1533-position model. The record is from RNAcentral.